GUCCAGCUGACGAGUCCCAAAUAGGACGAAAUGCGCAUCCUGGAG
This 45-nucleotide non-coding RNA is filed under the name Trichobilharzia regenti. The record is from RNAcentral. Lineage: Eukaryota; Metazoa; Platyhelminthes; Trematoda; Strigeidida; Schistosomatidae.